GGCUUAGAGUUUGAUCAUGGCUCAGGACGAACGCUGGCGGCGCGCCUAACACAUGCAAGUCGAACGGAGUUGAGAGGAGCUUGCUUUUCUUGACUUAGUGGCGAACGGGUGAGUAACGCGUGAGGAACCUGCCUCAAAGAGGGGGACAACAGUUGGAAACGACUGCUAAUACCGCACAAGCCCACGGUCCCGCAUGGGACAGAGGGAAAAGGAGCAAUCCGCCUUGAGAUGGCCUCGCGUCCGAUUAGCUAGUUGGUGAGGUAACGGCCCACCAAGGCGACGAUCGGUAGCCGGACUGAGAGGUUGAACGGCCACAUUGGGACUGAGACACGGCCCAGACUCCUACGGGAGGCAGCAGUGGGGAAUAUUGCACAAUGGGGGAAACCCUGAUGCAGCGACGCCGCGUGGAGGAAGAAGGUCUUCGGAUUGUAAACUCCUGUUGUUGGGGAAAAAGAGGAUGGUACCCAACAAGGAAGUGACGGCUAACUACGUGCCAGCAGCCGCGGUAAAACGUAGGUCACGAGCGUUGUCCGGAAUUACUGGGUGUAAAGGGAGCGCAGGCGGGUAUGCAAGUUGGGAGUGAAAUACAUGGGCUCAACCCAUGAACUGCUCUCAAAACUGUGUAUCUUGAGUAGUGCAGAGGUAGGCGGAAUUCCCGGUGUAGCGGUGGAAUGCGUAGAUAUCGGGAGGAACACCAGUGGCGAAGGCGGCCUACUGGGCACCAACUGACGCUGAGGCUCGAAAGUGUGGGUAGCAAACAGGAUUAGAUACCCUGGUAGUCCACACCGUAAACGAUGAUUACUAGGUGUUGGAGGAUAGACCCCUUCAGUGCCGCAGUUAACACAAUAAGUAAUCCACCUGGGGAGUACGACCGCAA
Molecule: ribosomal RNA, 877 nt
Filed under: uncultured bacterium
Lineage: Bacteria
Description: bacterial SSU rRNA
Rfam family: Bacterial small subunit ribosomal RNA
Source: RNAcentral